GGCAUAUGGAAGUUCAGAGGAAUUUCGCAACAACACUAACGAAUAUCUCUAUAAUCAAUUAUCAUUGGUCUCUGUAUCAUUCAGAAAUAUGAGGGCUAGAUAUACUAAGUUUGCUCCAAAAAUGGUGCCAAUUGACUUGUUUAGCAACAUUGGUGGAUUCUUGGGAAUUUGGAUUGGUUCAUCUGUCAUAUCGAUAUCUGAUUUAUUGUAUAGACUAUCUGAUUAUCUACUCAACCG
Non-coding RNA from Parasteatoda tepidariorum (common house spider), 237 nucleotides. NCBI's taxonomy places the organism in Eukaryota, Metazoa, Arthropoda, Arachnida, Araneae, Theridiidae. The record is from RefSeq and is a predicted model, not a curated record.